RNAcentral lists this transfer RNA (69 nucleotides) under Marmota monax (woodchuck). RNAcentral's name for it is "tRNA.Val". The record is from RNAcentral. Lineage: Eukaryota; Metazoa; Chordata; Mammalia; Rodentia; Sciuridae.
GGAACAUAGCUCAGUUGGUAGAGUGCUUGCCACACAUGCACAAGGCCCUGGGUUCCAUCCCCAGCACCA